Molecule: ribosomal RNA, 255 nt
Filed under: uncultured bacterium
Lineage: Bacteria
Description: partial 16S ribosomal RNA
Rfam family: Bacterial small subunit ribosomal RNA
Source: RNAcentral
UACGUAGGUGGCGAGCGUUGUCCGGAUUUACUGGGCGUAAAGAGCGCGCAGGCGGCUGGUCAAGUCCGAUGUGAAAGCUCCCGGCUUAACUGGGAAAUUGCAUCGGAAACUGAUCGGCUGGAAGGUGGGAGAGGGUAGCGGAAUUCCCGGUGUAGUGGUGAAAUGCGUAGAGAUCGGGCGGAACACCAGCGGCGAAGGCGGCAUCCUGGCCCGUACCUGGACGCUGAGGCGCGAGAGCGUGGGGAGCAAACGAGG